CCUUGACUCACUCUCAUUUCUCUCUUCCUCGCUAUUUCUUUUUCUUCCUUCACGUUUUCUUUCUUUCUUCAGCAGACCCAUUUCUGCUCUUUCUUCCUUUCUUCUCCUUUUCUUCUUCUUUUCUUUCUUUGUUACCUACUUUAUCUCCUUCUUUUAUUUGCUGCAACAACUCCCCACUGUUCCUCUUUCUCUUUUGAUCAGCAUCUCCACAUCCUUUUCUUCUCCAUGGACAACCAGUCCAUGAGCCACCACCUCUACUCUCCCUCUUGCAACCGCUGAUGACACCAUCACUAUCACCAUGAUUCUUCUCCUUCCUAACUUGCAGCAACAAACAUGGCACCACCACCAAUAUGAAAGCCACACACACCCCUUCUCAUCACAUAUUUGCUCAAUUUUCUAACCACCACCGUUCCUUGCUCUCCAUGGAGCCUAACAAUCCACCAUCUUUGUUCUCCUUCUUCUGGUUUUGAAUGGAGAACCCCAUGAAAGGACCCAAGCACCACCACCGUGAGCUCCACCACGCAGAGGAUGCCACCGGCACAUCACCUUCUCAUUUUCCUUGGGUACGAAGGACGAAAGCGCCUUGCGACGAAGCUAAAGAAUAGAAGGAAGCGAGCUGACGCGGAAAACAAAUAUGUGACAGGAUUGGAGUUGCAGUUUAGGAAGAAAAUUGGCUAAGGCGAUGGAGAGCCUUCCGCUGAAGCUUAGCUGUUCGAGUUGGAGAUCGUGACCGUGGGCGGUCGAAUAAUGGUGGAUGAAGCAGUUGCUUCUCCCCUUUUGAAGGACUAUGUCUGAGUUUCUUUCUCCAUCUGAAAACUCUGCUGUUUAAAUCUUACAUUCGCCACUUGUCUAAGUGAGCGUACUUAUUUUGGAAACUUGUUUAUGAUAUUGUAAGACAUUAUUAUUAUAU
This is a long non-coding RNA of Lotus japonicus, 910 nucleotides long. RefSeq lists it as uncharacterized. NCBI's taxonomy places the organism in Eukaryota, Viridiplantae, Streptophyta, Magnoliopsida, Fabales, Fabaceae. The record is from RefSeq and is a predicted model, not a curated record. The transcript is spliced from 3 exons.